Molecule: long non-coding RNA, 1807 nt
Organism: Oncorhynchus kisutch (coho salmon)
Lineage: Eukaryota; Metazoa; Chordata; Actinopteri; Salmoniformes; Salmonidae
Source: Ensembl
UCAAUUCCGACCAAUCUCCCUUCUCAACGUUGAAGGGAAGAUCUUUUUCAGUAUAAUAGCACAGAGGCUGUCCACUUAUCUGGAAAGGAACAAGUACAUUGAUACAUCUGUACAGAAAGCAGGCAUUCCUGGUUUCUCUGGUUGCCUGGAACAUACUAGUAUGAUUUGGCACCAGAUCCAAACAGCUAAGAAAGACAAGAGAGACCUCUAUGUCAUCUUCCUCGACCUGGCCAAUGCCUUUGGCUCAGUUCCCCAUGAACUCCUCUGGGAAUCCUUCAACAUUUUCCACGUACCAGAACCCAUCACUACACUGGUAAAGGCCUAUUUCCAAGACCUGCAAUUGUGUUUCACAACACCUGACUUCACAACAACAUGGCAGCGCUUGGAAGUAGGCAUAAUGGCAGGCUGUACAAUUUCUCCUCUGGCCUUCACUAUGGCCAUGGAAGUCAUCAGGGCAUCGAGAUGGGUGGUCGGCGGUGAGAGAACUAAGGAAGGGCUCCGUCUCCCACCUAUCCGAGCAUACAUGGAUGACAUGACUACACUGACCACCACUGCAGCAUGCACCAGGCGGCUACUUGCAAAACUGCAGGAUAACAUCAAGUGGGCCCGGAUGAAAAUCAAGCCAAGCAAAUCUCGAAGCAUCUCCAUAGUCAAGGGACAACUUAAAGAUGUGAGGUUCUGCAUUGGAGAUGACCCGAUACCAACGGUGUCUGAGCAACCCAUCAAGAGCCUGGGUAGAUGGUACAACGAAAGCCUCCGGGAUAAAGAUCAAGUUCAGCAAGUAAGGCAGAACAUCGCUGACGGUCUUGAGAACAUCAACAAAACCCUACUGCCUGGGAGACUCAAGCUUUGGUGCCUACAGUUUGGACUUCUCCCCCGGGUAAUGUGGCCACUCACAGUCUAUGAGGUCCCAAUAACAACAGUGGAGAAGAUGGAGCGAACCAUUACCUCAUACGUGAAGAAAUGGCUGGGUGUCCCACGAUGCCUGAGUAACAUCGGCCUCUAUGGCAAAGGGGUCCUUGAACUACCUCUUACAAGUCUAACGGAGGAGUACAAGUGCUCUAAAGUAAGACUUCAGAUGACAUUGAAGGACUCCAAAGACCAGACUAUUAGCAAGGCUGCACCUCCCCUACAAACUGGACAGAAAUGGACAUCAUCCAAGGCUGUGCAGCAAGCAACAUCAGCCCUGAGUCACCAAGACAUUGUGGGGAAUAUCCAGCAUGGAAGAGGAGGCUUUGGCCUGGCAGCAAGCAAACCAACGUUCCAUAAGGCAACAACAUCUGAACGCAGGAAGCUGGUGGUCGAGGAGGUGCGCAGACAGGAGGAGACUGCAAGAAGUGCAAAGGCUGUCUCUUGCUAAACAAGGGCAAUGGACGCGGUGGGAAGGCCUGUAGAGGAGAAAGAUCAACUGGAGUGAGCUUUGGCAAAUGGAGGCAAGCAACAUCAGCUUCAUCAUAAGAGCUGUUUAUGAUGUGCUUCCAUCACCAAAAAAUCUACAUCAAAUGGUAUGGCGAGGACUCGACCUGCCCCCUCUGCCCAGCUCCAGCGACUCUCAGGCAUAUAAUGACAGGUUGCAAGACCAGCCUCUCACAAGGCCGCUACACCUGGAGGCACAAUCAGGUCCUCAAGAGCCUGGCUGCAGCACUUUGAGACCAAGAGGAGUGCAACCAAUUCAUUACCUCCAAAAUCAAGCAAUCCCGUCAAAACAACAACAGUCAUCCGGGAGGGACAGAAAAGGCCCAAGUAUCCUCCUACGAAGCCAGAAACUGGACACCUAGCCAUGGCCCGGGACUGGAAGAUGCUUAUC